CGAUAGCGUAUAUUAAAGUUGUUGCAGUUAAAAAGCUCGUAGUUGGAUUUCGGGGCAGCCUGGCUGGUCCGCCGCAAGGCGAGUACUGGUCAGCCGCCCUUCCUCUCGAAAGCCCCGACUGCUCUUUAUUGCAGUGGUCGGGUAGUUCGGGACGUUUACUUUGAAAAAAUUAGAGUGUUCAAGGCAGGCCUACGCCUGAAUACAUUAGCAUGGAAUAAUGGAAGAGGACCUCGGUCCUAUUUUGUUGGUUUCCAGGACCGAAGUAAUGAUUAAGAGGGACAGUUGGGGGCAUUCGUAUUUAAUCGUCAGAGGUGAAAUUCUCGGAUUUAUGAAAGACGAACAACUGCGAAAGCAUUUGCCAAGGAUGUUUUCAUUAA
RNAcentral lists this ribosomal RNA (377 nucleotides) under uncultured eukaryote. RNAcentral describes it as "partial 18S ribosomal RNA". It matches the Rfam family "Eukaryotic small subunit ribosomal RNA", at positions 592 to 976 of the family's 1831-position model. The record is from RNAcentral.